Molecule: ribosomal RNA, 606 nt
Filed under: Bacillus licheniformis
Lineage: Bacteria; Bacillati; Bacillota; Bacilli; Caryophanales; Bacillaceae
Description: bacterial SSU rRNA
Rfam family: Bacterial small subunit ribosomal RNA
Source: RNAcentral
CGCGGCGCAUUAGCUAGUUGGUGAGGUAACGGCUCACCAAGGCAACGAUGCGUAGCCGACCUGAGAGGGUGAUCGGCCACACUGGGACUGAGACACGGCCCAGACUCCUACGGGAGGCAGCAGUAGGGAAUCUUCCGCAAUGGACGAAAGUCUGACGGAGCAACGCCGCGUGAGUGAUGAAGGUUUUCGGAUCGUAAAACUCUGUUGUUAGGGAAGAACAAGUACCGUUCGAAUAGGGCGGUACCUUGACGGUACCUAACCAGAAAGCCACGGCUAACUACGUGCCAGCAGCCGCGGUAAUACGUAGGUGGCAAGCGUUGUCCGGAAUUAUUGGGCGUAAAGCGCGCGCAGGCGGUUUCUUAAGUCUGAUGUGAAAGCCCCCGGCUCAACCGGGGAGGGUCAUUGGAAACUGGGGAACUUGAGUGCAGAAGAGGAGAGUGGAAUUCCACGUGUAGCGGUGAAAUGCGUAGAGAUGUGGAGGAACACCAGUGGCGAAGGCGACUCUCUGGUCUGUAACUGACGCUGAGGCGCGAAAGCGUGGGGAGCGAACAGGAUUAGAUACCCUGGUAGUCCACGCCGUAAACGAUGAGUGCUAAGUGUUAGAGG